This 402-nucleotide ribosomal RNA is filed under the name uncultured bacterium. Its description in RNAcentral is "bacterial SSU rRNA". It matches the Rfam family "Bacterial small subunit ribosomal RNA", at positions 355 to 774 of the family's 1533-position model. The record is from RNAcentral.
UGGGGAAUCUUGCACAAUGGGGGCAACCCUGAUGCAGCGACGCCGCGUGAGCGAUGAAGCCCUUCGGGGCGUAAAGCUCUUUCGACCGGAACGAUAAUGACGGUACCGGGAGAAGAAGCUGCGGCUAACUACGUGCCAGCAGCCGCGGUAAUACGUAGGCAGCAAGCGUUGUUCGGAGUUACUGGGCGUAAAGAGUGCGUAGGCGGUUUUCUAAGUUCGGUGUGAAAUCUCCCGGCUUAACUGGGAGGGUGCGCCGAAGACUGGGAAGCUGGAGUGUGGGAAAGGCAGGCGGAAUUCCUGGUGUAGCGGUGAAAUGCGUAGAUAUCAGGAGGAACACCGGCGGUGUAGACGGCUUGCUAGACCAUAACUGACGCGGAGGCACGAAAGCGUGGGUAGCAAACA